Apis florea (little honeybee) is the source of this 986-nucleotide long non-coding RNA. The record is from RefSeq and is a predicted model, not a curated record. Lineage: Eukaryota; Metazoa; Arthropoda; Insecta; Hymenoptera; Apidae.
UUCAGCAAAUGUUCGAUAUGAAAAAGAAGCAAAAUAUUUUCAUAUUUUUCUUCUUUUUCUAUACCAUUCCUUCCUACUAAUUUAUUUUCAGUUGUUGACCGCGUGCAAUGCGAUUAUUAGCGUCAGUGUUUGUUGCGUAGUUUUUUAAAUAUUUUUUUAGAGCACAAUAGCUCUAAGUAAAUUUAAUUGUAAUAAAUAUUCGCGAAAUUCGAGUCAGUGCUUGUUCGCCGAUUUUACUUUUACGGUCGCGCCAAUAGUCUUUUAUUUUAUUUUAUUUUUUUAAAUAUUCGCUUUCGGUACAGGAUAGAAUCAGUGCUUCUCUCAACAGUAUAAGGCGAUCAUCCAUCACGCGAAGAGAUGCUGAUAGCCAAUUAAACUUUUUGCGAUCGCGUGCAAUGCGGUUAUUAGCGUCAGUGUUUGUUGCGUAGUUUUUUAAAUAUUUUUUUAGAGCACAAUAGCUCUAAGUAAAUUUAAUUGUGAUAAAUAUUCGCGAAAUUCGAGUCAGUGCUUGUUCGCCGAUUUUACUUUUACGGUCGCGCCAAUAGUCUUUUAUUUUAUUUUAUUUUUUUAAAUAUUCGCUUUCGGUACAGGAUAGAAUCAGUGCUUCUCUCAACAGUAUAAGGCGAUCAUCCAUCACGCGAAGAGAUGUCUUCCCAAUGACAACUUCUCUUUGAACAGAGCAUGAAUUUCAUACUUCGCAUCUAUUGGUGAGUCGCAUGCAUUUAAGUUCCUCCGGUCAUUCAAUCAUGUCGUAGGAUGAAAGAUCCAAAUCGACACGGAUGACUGGUUGUAUACGUAGAAUUUUGCACGAGCACAGUGACCACGGGUAUUUUUAUUAUACCUGUGAAUAGUAACAUUCUUUUUUUCUGUAUUUUAUUCAUUAGAUCAGGAUAGGUUUUCUUGCACAUCGCGUUUCUAAUAAAAUGAUACUAAUUUUGAUUAAUUAUUGAUUAAAUUUCAAUAUAACGAAUUGAAAAUCAAUCUGA